AGUCGAGCGGUAAGGCCUCUUCGGGGGUACACGAGCGGCGAACGGGUGAGUAACACGUGGGUGACCUGCCCUCAGCUCUGGGAUAAGCCUGGGAAACCGGGUCUAAUACCGGAUAGGACCUUGCCUCGCAUGGGGUGGGGUGGAAAGUUUUUUCGGCUGGGGAUGGGCCCGCGGCCUAUCAGCUUGUUGGUGGGGUGAUGGCCUACCAAGGCGACGACGGGUAGCCGGCCUGAGAGGGCGACCGGCCACACUGGGACUGAAACACGGCCCAAACUCCUACGGGAGGCAGCAGUGGGGAAUAUUGCGCAAUGGGCGGAAGCCUGACGCAGCGACGCCGCGUGGGGGAUGACGGCCUUCGGGUUGUAAACCUCUUUCGCCAUCGACGAAGCCUCUUCGGGGGUGACGGUAGGUGGAAAAGAAGCACCGGCCAACUACGUGCCAGCAGCCGCGGUAACACGUAGGGUGCGAGCGUUGUCCGGAAUUAUUGGGCGUAAAGAGCUCGUAGGCGGUGUGUCGCGUCGGCCGUGAAAACUUGGGCUCACCCCGAGCUUGCGGUCGAUACGGGCCAUCACUGGAGUCGGCAGGGGAGACUGGAAUUCCUGGUGUAGCGGUGAAAUGCGCAGAUAUCAGGAGGAACACCGGUGGCGAAAGGCGGGUCUCUGGGCCGAUACUGACG
RNAcentral lists this ribosomal RNA (676 nucleotides) under Pseudonocardia artemisiae. RNAcentral describes it as "bacterial SSU rRNA". It matches the Rfam family "Bacterial small subunit ribosomal RNA", at positions 60 to 745 of the family's 1533-position model. Lineage: Bacteria; Bacillati; Actinomycetota; Actinomycetes; Pseudonocardiales; Pseudonocardiaceae. The record is from RNAcentral.